RNAcentral lists this ribosomal RNA (425 nucleotides) under Clostridioides difficile. RNAcentral describes it as "bacterial SSU rRNA". It matches the Rfam family "Bacterial small subunit ribosomal RNA", at positions 373 to 816 of the family's 1533-position model. The record is from RNAcentral. Lineage: Bacteria; Bacillati; Bacillota; Clostridia; Peptostreptococcales; Peptostreptococcaceae.
GGGCGAAAGCCUGAUGCAGCAACGCCGCGUGAGUGAUGAAGGCCUUCGGGUCGUAAAACUCUGUCCUCAAGGAAGAUAAUGACGGUACUUGAGGAGGAAGCCCCGGCUAACUACGUGCCAGCAGCCGCGGUAAUACGUAGGGGGCUAGCGUUAUCCGGAUUUACUGGGCGUAAAGGGUGCGUAGGCGGUCUUUCAAGUCAGGAGUGAAAGGCUACGGCUCAACCGUAGUAAGCUCUUGAAACUGGGAGACUUGAGUGCAGGAGAGGAGAGUGGAAUUCCUAGUGUAGCGGUGAAAUGCGUAGAUAUUAGGAGGAACACCAGUUGCGAAGGCGGCUCUCUGGACUGUAACUGACGCUGAGGCACGAAAGCGUGGGGAGCAAACAGGAUUAGAUACCCUGGUAGUCCACGCUGUAAACGAUGAGUAC